GGAAAAUAUUGUGAAUUCUCUGGACUUGCUGCUCCAACAGGAGACUGUGCCGGGGGAUUCUGGUGCAAAAGUGGUGCCCAAGUGAGAAACCCCCAAGAUGGAGAAUCAGGACUGCCUUGUCCUCCUGGUUAUUACUGUCCUGAAGGUGCCCCACUUCCCCUACAGUGCCCUCCUGGCACUUGGUCUGACAGUGAAGGUGGUAGGAAUUUGCAGGAGUGCCAGCCUUGCCCUGGGGGGUAUUACUGC
This is a non-coding RNA of Tinamus guttatus (white-throated tinamou), 246 nucleotides long. The record is from RefSeq and is a predicted model, not a curated record. NCBI's taxonomy places the organism in Eukaryota, Metazoa, Chordata, Aves, Tinamiformes, Tinamidae.